RNAcentral lists this long non-coding RNA (339 nucleotides) under Durio zibethinus. RNAcentral's name for it is "long non-coding RNA (DZIB_LNC000818)". The record is from RNAcentral. Lineage: Eukaryota; Viridiplantae; Streptophyta; Magnoliopsida; Malvales; Malvaceae.
AUUGAAUUCCUCCUUAUCAUGCAAGCUAUUCGCUUAGAGCAGACAACUACUAAAUAAUAUCCACACUUAAGAAGCCACAACUAAGGGGUUUUUCAAAAAGUUAAAUUCCAAAAACUAAACUAAUAUAGAUAAAUGUGUCACAAGAAAAAUCAAAACAUGACAUAACAAAGCCUCAAUGAGAAAAAAACGACAACUAUGAAUGGCCAAAGAUGAUAACUAACUCCAAUAACAAAAGAGGCAAGGAAUCUUCCUUUUAACACUCAACCUUUGGGUUUGGUAGAACUUAGUUUCAGAAAUUAAACCUAAGAAAUUAAUCCAUCAAGCAAUAAAGUUGAACCA